Molecule: transfer RNA, 73 nt
Filed under: Salibacteraceae bacterium
Lineage: Bacteria; Pseudomonadati; Bacteroidota; Flavobacteriia; Flavobacteriales; Salibacteraceae
Description: tRNA-Pro
Rfam family: tRNA
About the family: Transfer RNA (tRNA) molecules are approximately 80 nucleotides in length.
Source: RNAcentral
CGGGAUGUAGCUCAGUAGGUAGAGUGCGCGUCUGGGGGGCGCGAGGCCGCAGGUUCAAGUCCUGUCAUCCCGA